AGGAAUUCAACAGUCGAACAUCUUUUAGGAUUGCGAUGAAGAAAAGUUAAGUAUCCAGCAGACGUUCGACCCCCAUUUCAGUUGUGCUUUGAGCAGAAGUAGGCACUGGUUUCAAGGACAGUGACAACCACACAAGAUCCUAUUCACCGCCACGAAAGAAUAGAUUGUAUGCACAAGGUAACAACAACCUGGAGUAUUGAGCAAAUGGUAGAGGAGAAUUUGGAGUAAAAAAGGGCAAGUGUGGGAAGCCCCAUUUGUUCAUGCAUUUUUGUCUGUAAAUUCUGUAGUUUCACUUGUAAAUAAAUUAUUUU
This is a long non-coding RNA of Phycodurus eques (leafy seadragon), 311 nucleotides long. RefSeq lists it as uncharacterized. The record is from RefSeq and is a predicted model, not a curated record. Lineage: Eukaryota; Metazoa; Chordata; Actinopteri; Syngnathiformes; Syngnathidae. The transcript is spliced from 3 exons.